AAAUUGAAGAGUUUGAUCAUGGCUCAGAUUGAACGCUGGCGGCAGGCCUAACACAUGCAAGUCGAACGGUAACAGGAAGAAGCUUGCUUCUUUGCUGACGAGUGGCGGACGGGUGAGUAAUGUCUGGGAAACUGCCUGAUGGAGGGGGAUAACUACUGGAAACGGUAGCUAAUACCGCAUAACGUCGCAAGACCAAAGAGGGGGACCUUCGGGCCUCUUGCCAUCGGAUGUGCCCAGAUGGGAUUAGCUAGUAGGUGGGGUAACGGCUCACCUAGGCGACGAUCCCUAGCUGGUCUGAGAGGAUGACCAGCCACACUGGAACUGAGACACGGUCCAGACUCCUACGGGAGGCAGCAGUGGGGAAUAUUGCACAAUGGGCGCAAGCCUGAUGCAGCCAUGCCGCGUGUAUGAAGAAGGCCUUCGGGUUGUAAAGUACUUUCAGCGGGGAGGAAGGGAGUAAAGUUAAUACCUUUGCUC
Molecule: ribosomal RNA, 477 nt
Filed under: Escherichia coli
Lineage: Bacteria; Pseudomonadati; Pseudomonadota; Gammaproteobacteria; Enterobacterales; Enterobacteriaceae
Description: bacterial SSU rRNA
Rfam family: Bacterial small subunit ribosomal RNA
Source: RNAcentral